UGGGGAAUUUUGGACAAUGGGCGCAAGCCUGAUCCAGCAAUGCCGCGUGAGUGAAGAAGGCCUUCGGGUUGUAAAGCUCUUUUGUCAGGGAAGAAACGGUGAGUUCUAAUACAGCUUGCUAAUGACGGUACCUGAAGAAUAAGCACCGGCUAACUACGUGCCAGCAGCCGCGGUAAUACGUAGGGUGCAAGCGUUAAUCGGAAUUACUGGGCGUAAAGCGUGCGCAGGCGGUUUUGUAAGUCUGUCGUGAAAUCCCCGGGCUCAACCUGGGAAUUGCGAUGGAGACUGCAAGGCUAGAGUUUGGCAGAGGGGGGUAGAAUUCCACGUGUAGCAGUGAAAUGCGUAGAUAUGUGGAGGAACACCGAUGGCGAAGGCAGCCCCCUGGGUCAAAACUGACGCUCAUGCACGAAAGCGUGGGGAGCAAACA
RNAcentral lists this ribosomal RNA (427 nucleotides) under uncultured prokaryote. RNAcentral describes it as "bacterial SSU rRNA". It matches the Rfam family "Bacterial small subunit ribosomal RNA", at positions 355 to 774 of the family's 1533-position model. The record is from RNAcentral.